This 85-nucleotide transfer RNA is filed under the name Puniceicoccales bacterium. RNAcentral's name for it is "tRNA-Leu". It matches the Rfam family "tRNA". Rfam says of the family: Transfer RNA (tRNA) molecules are approximately 80 nucleotides in length. Their secondary structure includes four short double-helical elements and three loops (D, anti-codon, and T loops). The record is from RNAcentral. Lineage: Bacteria; Pseudomonadati; Verrucomicrobiota; Opitutia; Puniceicoccales.
GCCCAGAUGGCGGAAUUGGCAGACGCGCCUGACUCAAAAUCAGGUAUCGAAAGAUGUGUGGGUUCGACCCCCACUCUGGGUACCA